Anopheles arabiensis is the source of this 2173-nucleotide long non-coding RNA. RefSeq lists it as uncharacterized. Lineage: Eukaryota; Metazoa; Arthropoda; Insecta; Diptera; Culicidae. The record is from RefSeq and is a predicted model, not a curated record. The transcript is spliced from 3 exons.
UAUCGUGGCUUUCUGGUGGUAGUGGUGGGUAUACGCUUGACAUGCACGGAAGCACGCGCACCCUCCGCCAGCCAGGCCUGGUGAUAAUUUAUUGAAUUAGGCUCGGUAAAAGUGCGUAAGACUCGUAGUCUUUAGACACGGAUCGUGGCUUCGUCUUUAGACAGAAGAGUCAGUACAGUCGGAAGUCAUCAACAUCAGAGAUAUUUCUUCGCGGUCUGCAGGACAUCACACCGAUGCUGUGCUAAUAAUAGCAAUCUAGCUAGACAUCUUAUGAGUCACUGAAAGCCAAGCCCAACAAGUGGUGCAGGCAAGCCUUGACCGACAACGGAUGUUGAGCCAAAAAAGAAGAAGUUAGAAUUUGGUAACAAAUAUCUCUACAAAAGGUGCCGCCGAGAGAAAGAGGUGACGAUCACAACAUUCCAACUGCAACUCCGCUAAUGUCCUUGAAGCAGAGCAAACAAAACCUCGGGUGCGUGUUUCACAAUUGUGCGAGCCGUGUAAAACAUAAAUCUCGCCAGCAGCAGCUAGUACAAUCGGUGCGGCAACGAUAACAACAAAAACAACCGCCGGUAAAUGUGAAUUGCACCUCCAUUCACGCGGAAAAACCAAUGUGUCACAAUAGCCGUCGGGAGCCCGGCCGCCGUAAAUCGGUCGCAGUGUGUGCUGUGUUUUUGUACAGUAGCAGCAGUAGCAGCAGCAAGGAACAGCACAAAAACGCAUACUUUUAAUCGUGCCUGCUCGCGGGAACUCGCUGAAACCGAGGUGGAAAUAAAUUAUCGGUCGAACCCGCCAGGACCCGGGAGCCGACGGGCGCAAAUGGUGGACAUAGUGUGUGUGUGUGUGUGCGUGUGUAACACAUCAUGUUCUAUCGGAAGGAUCGCAAUGGUUGUGGGCCCCACGUACCCCGGCACAAUCGGUUAAAAUCGGUCGCCGACGGAUGCACAGCUUUUUAAAAACGCUAAUUGUCGUCGAUUACGGUGUGCGCGAAACAAAAACAAAAAGGCGAGGGGAUCUCCCGUUAGGAGACAGAUGACAUGUCAUUCAUCGAGCAACACACACACACACACAGAGGCAAACGAGUAUUCAGAGGACGCGAAUCGAGCCAGACUGGCCCCGGAAGCUGACAGGCAAUCGCACUAAGCCCAUCAUCGCAUUGCGAACACAACGCAUUCGAAACAGCCUUUCAAUCGAUCUCUCCCUCUAUCUCUCUCUCUCUCUAUCUCUCUCGCUCGUUAUCAGCUCGCACACCUCGCCAAUGUUCGGCGGGCGGCAUUGUACCGAUGUAAACCUGUGUCGGAGCCCCCUUGCAAAGUCAGCUUGCCGCACAGACAAGACCGCCUUUGUCUGCCCGGCAUUGUCGAUCGAUCGGCUCCAUUGUGUAGCUGCUGGCUGUACCGGCCUGACCCCGGCCUGACAUCGCCCAGUAGUGCUUGGCUGCACUGGAGUCGUCACUGACCGAGCAGACGCAGCUACGUAGUACCGUACAUGACUGACUCAGUUGAAUGCCUGCAAGACCCGCACCACGCACACCCCAUCCUACACCCAACCUGACACACUGACUCUGUGUGUGUGUGUUUUUGUGAUGAGUUUGUCAUCAUAUAGGUCUGACAUCGAUUAAUCGCUGCUGCAGGGGGUCCACCACUACAUCCCAGCAACUCCCUGUACAGCCUCGGAUGCACAAAUGGAAUCGCGGUAAUUGUGCCCGAUGAAUAGACCUGCAUGUGUGUGUGUGUAUGUGUGUGUGUGUGUGUGAGUGUGUGUGUAUGUUGCAGCCAGAGAGCAAUCAGAGCAAUCAUGUAAGUGUGCACCGGCAGAUGCAGAUUGACAUUGUACUACGACUAAUUGCGCAACACAAGAGCGCCUCCAGCCUCCAGUGUUGUGUACGAGUAUGUCGAAAGAUAGAGAGAGAGAGAGAGAAAAGAGAGAAAGAGAGUGUGUGGGUGAAAGGGAAACAAGGUACAACAGUGUCUUUGACACUGGAUCGACCGAGACAUCAGCAAACGUACGGUGCAAAAGCAUUGAUCCCGCACGAUGGAUACUGGAAACGCAUCAUCAUCAUAAUGUCGACACCUUCACAGGAGUGAAGUCGGAAAAUGAAAUAUUCGAUACACACACACUAUGCCAGUUUGAGUGUUGUACCAGGGAAAGAAAAUCAAUCACCUGCUCCAAGUGU